Molecule: ribosomal RNA, 253 nt
Filed under: uncultured bacterium
Lineage: Bacteria
Description: partial 16S ribosomal RNA
Rfam family: Bacterial small subunit ribosomal RNA
Source: RNAcentral
UACGGAGGAGGCAAGCGUUAUCCGGAAUUAUUGGGCGUAAAGCGUCCGUAGGUGGUGGUUCAAGUCUGCUGUCAAAAACUGGGGCUUAACCCCAGGAAGGCGGUGGAAACUGAAGCGCUAGAGUGUGGUAGGGGUAGAGGGAAUUCCCGGUGUAGUGGUGAAAUGCGUAGAGAUCGGGAGGAACACCUGUGGCGAAGGCGGCCCCCUGGGCCGGGCCUGACACUGAGACGCGAAGGCGUGGGGAGCGAACGGG